UGAGGGAUCUUCGGCAAUGGGGGCAACCCUGACCGAGCAACGCCGCGUGCGGGACGACGCCUUUCGGGGUGUAAACCGCUUUUCUGGGGGACGAGGAUGUACGGACGGUACCCCAGGAAGAAGUCUCGGCUAACUACGUGCCAGCAGCCGCGGUAAUACGUAGGAGACGAGCGUUGUCCGGAGUUACUGGGCGUAAAGGGUGCGCAGGUGGCGACGCGCGUGGGGGGUGAAAUCGCCCGGCUUAACUGGGCGGGGGCCUUCCAGACGGCGUGGCUUGAGCAGCGGAGGGGGACGUGGAAUUCCGGGUGGAGCGGUGAAAUGCGUAGAGAUCCGGAGGAACACCGACGGCGCAGGCAGCGUCCUGGCCGCUUGCUGACACUGAGGCACGAAAGCUGGGGGAGCAAACAGGAUUAGAUACCCCCGUAGUCC
RNAcentral lists this ribosomal RNA (429 nucleotides) under uncultured bacterium. RNAcentral's name for it is "bacterial SSU rRNA". It matches the Rfam family "Bacterial small subunit ribosomal RNA", at positions 355 to 796 of the family's 1533-position model. The record is from RNAcentral.